CGUAGGUGGCGAGCGUUGUCCGGAUUUAUUGGGUUUAAAGGGUGCGUAGGCGGCUUUGUAAGUCAGUGGUGAAAUAUGGCAGCUCAACUGUCAGGGUGCCAUUGAUACUGCGGAGCUUGAGUACAGAUGAGGUAGGCGGAAUUGACGGUGUAGCGGUGAAAUGCUUAGAUAUCGUCAAGAACACCGAUAGCGAAGGCAGCUUACUGGGCUGUAACUGACGCUGAGGCACGAAAGUGUGGGGAUCAAACAGGAUUAGAUACCCUGGUAGUCCACACUGUAAACGUUGAUGACUCGCUGUUGGCGAUACACGGCCAGCGGCAGAGAGAAAUCGUUAAGUCAUCCACCUGGGGAGUACGCCGGCAACGGUG
Molecule: ribosomal RNA, 368 nt
Filed under: uncultured organism
Description: bacterial SSU rRNA
Rfam family: Bacterial small subunit ribosomal RNA
Source: RNAcentral